CACAGUAUGGCUGAGUGGUUUCAGCAUUGGGCUACGAAUCUGGAGGCCAGGGUUCGAAUCGCAGCUCAGCCA
This is a non-coding RNA of Phrynosoma platyrhinos (Desert horned lizard), 72 nucleotides long. The record is from the annotation of a GenBank genome assembly. Lineage: Eukaryota; Metazoa; Chordata; Lepidosauria; Squamata; Phrynosomatidae.